Molecule: unclassified non-coding RNA, 314 nt
Filed under: plant metagenome
Description: partial contains 5.8S ribosomal RNA, internal transcribed spacer 2, and large subunit ribosomal RNA
Rfam family: 5.8S ribosomal RNA (bases 1-105)
Source: RNAcentral
GAAAUGCGAUAAUUAAUGUGAAUUGCAGAAUUCAGUGAAUCAUCGAGUCUUUGAACGCACAUUGCGCCCCCUGGUAUUCCGGGGGGCAUGCCAGUCCGAGCGUCAUUGCUGCCCUCAAGCACGGCUUGUGUGUUGGGCUUCCGUCCCUGGCAACGGGGACGGGCCCAAAAGGCAGUGGCGGCACCAUGUCUGGUCCUCGAGCGUAUGGGGCUUUGUCACCCGCUCCCGUAGGUCCAGCUGGCAGCUAGCCUCGCAACCAAUCUUUUUAACCAGGUUGACCUCGGAUCAGGUAGGGAUACCCGCUGAACUUAAGC